This is a long non-coding RNA of Fukomys damarensis (Damara mole-rat), 299 nucleotides long. RefSeq lists it as uncharacterized. The transcript is spliced from 3 exons. NCBI's taxonomy places the organism in Eukaryota, Metazoa, Chordata, Mammalia, Rodentia, Bathyergidae. The record is from RefSeq and is a predicted model, not a curated record.
AUAUUGAUUGUGCUUUGGCAACUAGAUGCAGUGCUAGGCUUCACUCUGCAAGGUGUUUAAAAAGAAAAACAGGGAGUGGAAUAAUGCAAACAGUGCCUCUCUGUAGAUGGGAACUUUGCUUCAUGGGACAUUACAUUCCCAGUAGCAGCAUCAGAAGCUUCAGAAAGUGCCGGAGAGUCAGUUAAGUCCUCAUUGCUGCCCAGUGCCAAUGCUAGCAACAACGCUGCACACCUGCUGUUUCCAGGUUUGGUGUUUCAUUCUGCAGGAAGUACAGUUCAAACAGCCCAUUUCUCUUGCUU